GCUUCAUACAUGCAAGUCGAGGGGCAGCAUAAAUUACUUGUAAUUUGAUGGCGACCGGCGAACGGGUGCGUAACGCGUAUGCAACUUACCUUUUACUAGAGAAUAGCCAAGAGAAAUUUUGAUUAAUGCUCUAUACACUUAUUAAUUCUCAUGAAUCUAUAAGAAAAGCUCCGGCGGUAAAAGAUGGGCAUGCGUCCUAUUAGCUUGUAGGUGAGGUAAUGGCUCACCUAAGCUCCGAUAGGUAGGGGUCCUGAGAGGGAGAUCCCCCACACUGGUACUGAGACACGGACCAGACUUCUACGGAAGGCAGCAGUAAGGAAUAUUGGACAAUGGAGGCAACUCUGAUCCAGCCAUGCCGCGUGAAGGAAGACGGCCUUAUGGGUUGUAAACUUCUUUUAUACAGGAAGAAACCUUUCCACGUGUGGAAAGCUGACGGUACUGUAAGAAUAAGGAUCGGCUAA
RNAcentral lists this ribosomal RNA (461 nucleotides) under uncultured bacterium. Its description in RNAcentral is "bacterial SSU rRNA". It matches the Rfam family "Bacterial small subunit ribosomal RNA", at positions 46 to 500 of the family's 1533-position model. The record is from RNAcentral.